GAUGAACGCUGGCGGCGUGCUUAACACAUGCAAGUCGAACGAAGCAUUUAAGACAGAUUACUUCGGUUUGAAGUCUUUUAUGACUGAGUGGCGGACGGGUGAGUAACGCGUGGGUAACCUGCCUCAUACAGGGGGAUAGCAGCUGGAAACGGCUGGUAAUACCGCAUAAGCGCACAGUACCACAUGGUACAGUGUGAAAAACUCCGGUGGUAUGAGAUGGACCCGCGUCUGAUUAGCUUGUUGGCGGGGUAACGGCCCACCAAGGCGACGAUCAGUAGCCGACCUGAGAGGGUGACCGGCCACAUUGGGACUGAGACACGACCCAGACUCCUACGGGAGGCAGCAGUGGGGAAUAUUGCACAAUGGAGGAAACUCUGAUGCAGCGACGCCGCGUGAGUGAAGAAGUAGUUCGCUAUGUAAAGCUCUAUCAGCAGGGAAGAUAGUGACGGUACCUGACUAAGAAGCUCCGGCUAAAUACGUG
Molecule: ribosomal RNA, 481 nt
Filed under: uncultured bacterium
Lineage: Bacteria
Description: partial 16S ribosomal RNA
Rfam family: Bacterial small subunit ribosomal RNA
Source: RNAcentral